AUACCAUAAAUAAUUUAGUAUUAGGAUUAAUUAAAAAAAAGGUUUACAUUGUCAUUACUUUUACACUAUAAUUAAAGAUAUAUAUUACAACACAUAUGAUUGAAACAAAAUUAUUAUCAAAUUACAAGAUAAAAUCAUGAAUUACGUAUGUAAUCAUGCCACAUGAAAGUUGCAUUUCUAUCUCUUGUAGCAUUCAUGUUGGCCGAAGAUAAAUCAAUUUUAGCAAGUGGCCUGCUAGUAUCUCCUUCUUCAUUAGUAAGCAUUUCUUAUGUAUGAAAGUCCUCGAACAAUCUAUUACUUGCAUUUUCUCAUCCAUAUCCUGUAACUAAAAAUUUGGAAAAAAAAUACCAUACAUCAAAUAUAAAUAAAAUUAAAGAAUGAAAUGUAAAAUGAGAUAAAGUAUCUAUAACAUUAUUACAUCCGACUUAAGAAGAGAAAUACUUCGGAUUCGGCAUAACAAAUUUGCAAUAACACAAAAAGAUCUUAUCAAGUAAAACAAAUUGCAACUUGUCCUUUUUGAACAAUCAUUAUUCACUACUAGAAAAAUGAGCUACCAUGACAGAAUUUUUGUGAUAGAUAUUAGAAAAUUAGUCAUUUGUCACAAAAAUAUGAUAGACACAUGACAAAAUUUUCGUACAUCAUAAAGCCAUGACAGAUUUGUGAUAGAGUUUUUAUAUAUCAGAUAAACAUGAUAGCAUAUUAAUAUUUAAUGAAACCGUGAGUUUCGGAUGGAAUUAAUUUGGGCAUGAAAUAACACCGUUUAACAGAUUUAAAAAGUUUUAAAAAUAAAAUAUUUAUUUAACAUUUAAACGCUAUCGUUUAAAUCUAUUGACUAAACCACAAAAAAAUUCUAAGUGUUGGCACCUUUGACUUAUCACUCCAUCGGCAAGGGCUGAGAAACCGAAGCAGUGAAACCCCUCAAAAUCUAGAAUUAACCUAUUUUAAUCUACAAAUUGGUUUUGAAAUAUGUUGCAUGGAAACCAAAAUCAUAGUAUAUGCUAUUGAAGGAGCCUUCGCGUCCUUAUUUUGAACCCAUUGUUUUUAGGCACAAAAUCACCACAUACGCUCAUUGUUGUGCCUUCGCGUCCACUAUUGAAGCCGUCGGUGUUACUACUUCUUUGUAUUGUUCAAUUGGCGUUGGAGAAGCCAUUCUGUAAUUGCUGAAUCCCUAGGUUUGUCGUCAAUUAACUUUUUUAAUUUUUAUUAUGAAUAAAUCAAUUGACCAUUAUAAAAUUAAUUGUUAGUUUUGUUGUUAUCUCCCUUAUUUGUUCAUAAUUUAUGCCCUUUUGUUUUGGGAGUUAUAUCAUGAACGGUUUAUCUUUAUUAUUUAUUUUUUUAAUUCUCGUUUGUUUCUGUUAUUAUAUUUUUUUAUUUUUUUAAUUCAAGAAGCUUAUACUUUGUCCUUUUAUUAAAUCUAGAAAUUGCUCAGUCAUUUAAUUUAGCAUGUCCUCUUCUUUUUUUUCAAAAAAAAAAUUAUUCUGAAUUGCAGGAUUUCACUGCCUUGUUCCCUUUCAAACUCGAUUUCUAACAUCAGGUUUGUUUAAUUUUUUACUUGCCUUUCUAUUCAAUUUUUAAAAAAUAUUUGCUGGCAAUGGUUUGUCUGAAUAUUGUUAUAUUAUGUAAUUUUUCAGUCAAAGCUUGCAUGUGUGUAAAGUGAUUUUGCUUGAUGAUAUAGCAUUUUUCAUUGACUAGUGUCUUUUAUUGGGAUGAAUCCGAAACUGUGGUCCAAUGGUGUUGACAUUUUUUUUUUCCUAAUGAUUGUGAGCUAGAUUUUGUGUAUUUUAUUGAGUUAAAAAGUGAGCCCCCCUUUUUCAGUUGUCUUUUUUAUGUUUGAAGGAAAUGGUAUCAUAUGGGGGCAAGUUUGGUCAUGUGGACCAAAUAAUGUUUAGUUGCUUAUAUAUAUAUAAUCUUGUGGUCCAUAAAAUGUUGGAUUGUUAGAAUUUUUUUUAAAUAAAUGUUAAAUGUAUGUGGGCCAAGUUAUUUAGGAUAUUAUUAGUUGGGUAUUGUUAGUCGGUGGUUUUCGUAAAUGAUGAUAGCAUGUUGGUAAAGUUAUAUUUGUUGCACAUGAUGACAAGUUUGGUUUUAAACUUAUUUAUUUCAUUAAAUUUAUAAACUGAAUAUUAAUAAUGUUUUGUUGCUUAGUUUAUUGAUAAUGGAAACCGUUUAUCAUUGCUGCCCAUUAGUGCAUUAUGUUGAAAUAUGUCUCAAUUAUAUGUCAGGUACUAGACAACAAAUGGAUAAAUCUUGGCUUAAAUAUGAUUGAUUGUCCAAUGAGUAUGAGGUUGGUGUGGAAAAAUUUAUUAAGACUACAGUUGAAAGUAAUCAAGAAAUUAGUGUUGUUAGGCGUCCAUGUGAUAAAUGUUGGAAUUUAGCAUUUCAUAGGCCUAAAGAAGUGAAAGAUCAUUUAAUUAUAUAGGGUUUUGAUAUGUCAUACAAAACAUGGGUUUGGAAUGGGGAAGAUAUUCGCAAAAAAUCUCCUGAUAAUAGAGGUUAUGAAAAUGACAGUGGAUAUAUGGAUUAUGAUGGUGGUAAUACUGUUGAAAUGGUUUAAGAUACUUUUAAGUAUUGUGAUAGUGAUCCUAAAGCAUUCAGAAAACUAUUAGAAGAUUAUGAGAAGCCUUUGUACCCUGAAUCAAACAAAUUUACCAAGUUAUCAACUUUAGUUAAAUUGUACAAUAUAAAGGGCAGAUAUGGGUGGUCUGAUAGUAGCUUUUCAGAUUUGUUGAGUGCUCUUUCUAACAUGUUACCGGAAGGAAAUGAAUUGCAUGUAUCAAUGUAUGAGGCCAAAAAGACAAUGAGUGCUUUAGGCUUAGAGUAUAUCAAAAGUCAUGCUUGCCCAAAUAAUUGUAUACUCUAUAGAAAGGAGUAUGAAAGCCUUUCUAAUUGUCCUACAUGCAGUGAAUCUAGGUGGAAGAAAAGGGAUGGUAGUGUUGCUGCUUAUAAGAAGGGGGUUUCUGCAAAAGUGUUAUGGUAUUUCCCUCUUAUACCUUGAUUUAGGCGUAUGUUUCAGUCUUCACAAACUGCCAAAGACUUGACUUGACAUGUAAAUUAGAGGGAAAUAGAUGGUAGGCUUCGACAUCCAACUGACUCACCAGCAUGGAAGUUAGUUGAUGAAAAAUGGCAUACCUUUGCAUUAGAGCCUAGAAAUCUGUGUCUUGCCCUAUCAGCUGAUGGCAUUAAUCCUCAUAGCUCUCUUAGUAGUAAGUAUAGUUGCUGGCCGAUUCUUCUUGUAACAUACAAUCUUUCACCCUAGUUGUGUAUGAAACGAAAAUUUAUGAUAUUAUCCUUAUGAAUUUUUAGUCCACAACAGUCUGGUAAUGAUAUUGAUGUGUACUUGGCACCACUAAUAAAGGACUUGCAAACUCUAUGAGAUGUUGGUGUGGAAGCUUAUGAUGCCUACAUAAAAGAGUUCUUCAAUUUACGGGUUGUGCUAUUGUGGACUAUAAAUGACUUUCCCGCUUAUGGGAAUUUGGCGGGUUGUACGAUCAAUGGUUAUUAUGCUUGUCUUUAUUACGGUGAAGAUAUGCCAAAAUGUAUACUUAAACACAGUAAAAAAAAUACUUAUAUUGGCUAUCGUUGUUGGCUUCCUGAUGAUCAUCUCUUUCGAACUCAAAAGCAACCUUUUAAUAAUAAACAUGAAAGAGAGCCUCCUUCGAAACCAUUGAAUGGCGAGGCCAUUUUUCGAACGAUGGAGAGUAUUGAAAACAAAUGGGGUAAAGUGAAAGAUAAAAUGCGCAAAAUAAAGGCGAGAAAAAGGAUGAUGAUGAUGAUCGUGCUUAGUGGAAGAAAAAAUCAACAUUCUUUAAGUUAGAGUAUUGGAAGUACUUGCUUAUUCGUCACCAAUUAGAUGUUAUGCACAUUGAAAAAAAUAUUUGUGAAAGCAUCUAUAAAACAUUACUAAAUAUACCGGGAAAGACCAAAGAUGGUAUUAAGUCGAGGUGGGAUCUAAAAGUUUUAAAGAUUAUGAAGAAAUUGGCACCUGAUGUUAAAGAAAAUAAUCGUACUUUUUUGCCUCCAACUUGUUACACCUUGACCAAAGAAGAAAAGAAAAGGUUUUGUAAAGCAUUAAAAAACAUAAAAGUUUCUAUAGGUUAUUCUUCAAACAUUAAGAACCUAGUGUCAAUGAAAGACUUAAAACUUCAAGAGUUAAAGUCUCAUCACUGUCAUGUUAAAUAUGUCAUUAUUAGAUUGUGCUUCUUCUUUAAUUCCUUAUACACAAUGGUUGUUGAUGUGACCAAACUUGACCAAAUGGAAGAAGACAUUGAGCUAACCUUAUGCUUGCUUGAAAAAUGUUUUCCAUUAUCCUUUUUUGACAUAAUGAUCCAUUUAACCAUCCAUUUAGUUAAUGAAGUUAGACUAUGUGGGUCGGUAUACUUAAGAUGGAUGUACCCAUUUGAAAGGAACAUGAAAGGCGUAAAGGCUUAUGUUCGAAACCGUAAUAACCCUGAGGGAUGCAUAGCUGAGAGUUACAUUGCCGAAGAGGCUUUGGAAUUUUGUGCAGAAUAUGUUUCAAACAUGCGUACAAUUGAGCUUCCUCCUGGACAUGUAGAAACCUCUUUAAUUAAUAAGCCUUUGCCUGGUGGAAAAUUUGAGCAAGUUGAUCAUUCCUUAAUUCAUCAAGCACACAUGUAUGUGUUGCAAAACACAGAAGAAGUUUAGCCAUUUAUUAGGUUUGUUAAUGUUUUACCUUUAAUUUGUACUUUUAUUGAAUUAUUUUUAAUGAAUUUGAACAAUAACUUAAUAUGUAUAUGUCAAAUAUGUUGUGAGCACAUUGAAUGGCUAAAGGGUCAUCAUUCACAAAAAGCCAAGAAUGAGAAAUGGUUGAGCAAUGAGCACAACUGCACCUUUUCAACUUGGCUUAAUAAGAAGGUUAAUAAUAUAUAUUCCAUUAUAUAUUCUUUUUAGUAAAUCUAUUGUCUUGUUUAUACAAUUAUUCAUUCAUUAUGGUUAUUAUUUUGUAGGUAUAUGAGAUGAUAGAUGAUGAUGAACAUGUCUCAGACACUUUGAGGUGGUUAUCUUAAGGACCCCGUCCUUUUGUAGUUAAGUACCUAGUGUCAUGACCCAACCUAGAACUGGCAAAAUAUUGUCUUCUUUGGGCCUUAACAAGGCCCGCACGGGUUUUUUUUUUUGGGCGGCCCAUACACCUCAAAACGCAUCUUACCAAUUAAGGUGUGGAUCACCCCUUAUAAACCCAGCAUAUCUCCCGUGCUUUGCCGAUGUGGGAUUUGCCUAGGGUGUUACAUACACCCCCGCUUGGGGAAUCAGCAUCCUCACUGAGGUUUAUCCCACCAUUGCUCAAGAGGACACACGUAGCCGCUUUGAUACCAUAAUGUCGUGACCCAACCCAGACCUGGUAAGAUAUUGUCCGCUUUGGGACUUAACAAGGCCCGCACAGUUUUGUUUCUAGGGUGCCCAUACACCCCAAAGACGCUGAGUCUAAAGACACGGACAAUAUCGUCCCCUCUUGAGCGAGGACGCUGAGUUCUCAAGGAGAGGUGUAUGUAACACCCCAAGCAAAUCUCACAUCGGCAAAGCACGGAAGAAAUGUUGGGUUUAUAAGAGGUGAUCCACACCUUAAUUGGUAAGACGCGUUUUAUGGUGUAUGGGCACCCCAGAAACAAACUCGUGCAGGCCUUGUUAAGGCCCAAAAUGCACAAUAUCUUAUUAGGUCUGGGUUGGGUCAUGACACCCAUGAUAUAACAUCAAUGGAUAUUGUUUCCAUACUCGAGUACGAGACAAACAAUGAGUUCAUCAAAAUAGUGGAGUUAGUCUUAUUGCAGCAACUUUACAAGUAGCUAGUGCCAAGGACAAAAAUUAUAUCCUUGGUGACAUGUCUUACUAUGAAGUUAUUAGCGAAAUAUGGGACUUUGACUACCAUAUGUUUAGAAUCCUUUUGUUCAAUUAUGAUUGGGUUCAAAAUAAUGGGGGUGUUAAAAUUGAUGAAUUUGGCUUCACUUUAGUGGACUUAAAUCGCUUGGGUCAUAAAUCAGACCCAUUUAUAUUGGUUUCACAAGCAACACAUGUCUUUUAUGUCACUGAUCAACUUGAUAAAAGAUGGUCAGUUGUAAGUCAUAUGCAUCGUAGAGGUGUUCCAAAAAAGACAAGAGGUGAAAAUAUAGAUAUCAUGAUGGAACACAAUCCUUUCACCAAUGGGUUACCAAAUAUUGAAAAUUUAAAUGAUGCGAACAGAUAUGCAAGAGAUGGCAAACAUGGCAUCUGGAUUGAUGCUUGAAAAAGAUGAUGGCAUUCACUGCUUGUAUGUUUUAUAAUAGUUUUGUGUUACAUUAUCUUUUAUUAUUAUAUGUUCCUUGUAUUGACUUUAGAUUAUUGUUUUUCAUUAUUUAUACUUUAUAUAAUGUUCUAAUACUAAAUGUGGAUUUAUUGCAAGAGUAACCUUAUGGAUAAAGGAAAGGGACUUGCUGAUGAAUACUUUAACGAGGAAAGUAUUGAUUAUUCAGGUAAUGAAGAGGUUCCUGAUUAAAUUAAUUCAAGUGAUGAUGAGGUUCUUGAUGAGUUUCCUAAUUCAGAUGAUGAAAAUGAUGUUCCAAAAAGUAGUUCCACUGCGAGAAGACAUCUAAAAACUCUGACAGGAUGAGGAUGAGGAUGAGUGGUGGGAAGCUUGUAGUAAGGUAUAAUGGGCUUGGUGUACCGUUGGCCCUGAAGCAACUGAAUUAGCAAGCUUUAUUGGGCUUUUGUGUCGUACUUCUAUUCUGAUUAUUAACCAAGAAUGGAGAAAGGUCACUCUAGAUUUAAAGAGCCGUUUGUGGAAGUUUAUUAAGGUAAAAUGAUUAUUUAUAUUUAUAUCUCAUAAUUGAAUAAUGUAUAUGUUAAACUAUUUGAUCAUUAUGCUAUGUAUUUUUCUCAGGAAUAUUUUAUUGUUCAUCCAAAUAAUAAGAAGCAAGUUUUUCAAGCACUUGGUAGUGCAUUCAAAAACUUUAAGUACUUGCUCACCAUAAAGUAUAUAAGCCACACAAGCACAAUCGUAAAAGGUUGAAGAGGCCACCUUUUCAGCACAGUAAUAUUCCUCAAAAUGUUUGGAAUAAAUUUGUAAAUUCUAAAUUAUCCACUGAGUUUGAGGUGAAUACUUUUAAAUGUUAAACAUUUAGGCAUUUCAUAAAACCAUCUUUAAAUCUAAUUAAAAACUGUUUUAUGUAAAGAAUUAGGCGUCAACAGCAAAAUAAGAGGGCUAAAAACAAGUGGAACCAUCACUUAAGUAGAAAAUGAUAUGUUGGAUUGCUUGAUGAAAUUGUAAGUAAUAUGAUACUAACUUGACCAUUCUUGUAUAGUUAUUGGUAUAGAGAUGGUUGGUUUGAUGAUGAUAAAUUGGUAAACCUUUUGGAUUAAUUUACUACUUAGAAUUUGUGGUUAGUUAAGGAUGCAUACCAGUUGUGAUAUUAUUAUUUUUUUAAACUACAAUGCUCGAAAACUGGACUUGUUGAAACUGAAGUUGACAAGAGUGUAGCAUGGAAGCGUGCUAGGAAGAUAAAAAACAAUGAAUAUGACCUUGAUGUUGAAUCAGUUGUGAAGAAGAUUGUAAGUAAUAGUAAGUUUCUUUUUUCAAUUAGGUUCUAUUGGAAAGAAUUUAAUAGUCAUCAAUAUGAUUAUUAUACAAUUAGGAUCCACUUGAGGAGAAAGCUAAAAAAAGAGAAUUUAAAGCUGAUGCAAGAAAUGAUAUUCUUGCACGUUCAAUUGGAAAGCUUGCCACUUCUGCACAUAUGCAGGGUGUUGGGAAAUUUAUAUCACCUAAGAUGUACUUUGACACCCCAAACAAUUCAUUUCAGAUGUGACAAGUGACUAAACAUACUAGAGAAGUUAGAUAAGUAAGAAGCAGAGUUGAGUGAUUUGAAGAAGAAGAUUAAAAAGCAACCUCGACAUUCAUAUGUUGGAAGCUAAAACUUUUUAUUAAAUGAGCAAACAAUUGAAGAUGAAGCUGAAGAAAUGACUGCUCGCAAUGAAGUCAAGGUGAUUGUUGUGUAUAGUUAAGUUAAAAAAAUGACUUAAACAUUUGAUUUUAAACGAUUUUAGCCUUAGUCAAAACCGUAAUUAUAAUAUUUUUUUGUUUGUCUUUUAGGCUUUUCAGUCAAUCGGCAUGACAUAGAUCACCUGCAAAGAAGAAGCAUGAAACACUGACAAAGAAAAGACAAUCACCAAAGAAGAGGAAGAAGUCACCAAAGAAGCAAGUGACUGUUGAUUGUCUUAGAGACAAACCAAAAAGUCCAAAAAAAAAAAAGACAAUCACUAAGGAAGAAAAAAGAAUAACCAAAGCAGCAAGUGAUUGUUGAUUGUCCUAGAGACAAAGCAAAAAGUCUUAAGAAAAGACAAUCACCAAAAAAGAAGAAAGAAUCACCAAAGCAGCAAGUGAUUGUUAAUUUUCCUAAAGACAAACCAGGCAGUCCAAUGAAAAGGCAAUCACUAAGAAAGAAGAAGGAAUCACCAAUGAAGCCUCACAAGAAAUCAAGAAUGGCUCUUGAUUGUCCAAGAGACAAACCAUGUAGUCCAAAGAAGAAGACAUCACCGAAAAAGCCUUAAGAGAAGCCACUGUCAAAAAGAAGAAUAAGAAAUUAUCAUACUGUGCAUAUGAACCGAGUUCCUGGGCUUGUAAUAUUUAGAAAUCUUUGUGAAAAGAACUUGCCUCAAAUGAGUUAUUACGUACCUUAUCAGUUGGAUGAAGAGGUAUACAAGCAUCCAAAGCACAUAUUGGUCUCAAUGAAUGUCAAUCAUUGAUUUCGAUGAAAGAGCUAGGAGCAAAUCAUAUGCAUCUAUAUAUCACGUAAGUUUACAAAAUUAUAAUUACUAGUUUAUUUUCAUUUUAAGUAAUUCUUGCUUCCUUUCUCUAUUUCUUUUUUUAAUGAUAUUUUUUAUUGGCAAUAUUGUCAUUAUUUCAUCAUCUUAAUUGCAUCAGGAUGUUGCAUGCGCACAUGGCAAAUGAUAUAGUAGGCAGACCAUUUGGGUUCAUACACAAAGGACUCGUAUCAUCAGCCCAUGAUAAGGAUGCCUUUGCUCAAGGGUAAGAAGGCCACAAUUUAUUGCCAAACGGUUGAACAAAACAAACAAAGGGCAAAUGAUUUUCAUGCCAUAUAACCUUGGGUAUAGUUCUAUUUACUUUCUAUUGAUGAUCAUUUACUAAAAUUGAUUCAUAAUUUCAAUUUCUUUGUGUAAUAGUUUCCAUUGGUUGUUAAUUGUAAUUGAUAUAACUACAAAGCAAGCAUUUUAUUUGGAUUCUGUGAACAACGAUUUGGGUGACGACAAUGAUGAAGGACAUAGUUACCAAGUAUGUUGAUAUUGUUUUUCUAAUAUAAUUUUAUAUAUCAUGUUUAUUUACUAACUGCAUGUAUUGUAAUGUAGUGGGAUUUCAAUACAUGUUGCGAUGGCUGGUAAAAAAAGAGGUGAAACCACAUAUCACAAAAGUUUUGGUAAGCAAUCAUGACUUGUUAAUAUUUAAUCACUUGAAAGAAUUCAUAUGCUUAUGUAUUAAUGAUUAUCUUGUUGAUGAUAUAGUCCCCAAAUCAACCAAGGAGUACUGAGUGUGGAUACUAUAUGCUGAGGUUUAUAAAAGACAUAAUUGCAUACCCGAGUUUACUUCUCCAUGAUGUAAGUACACAUUCUUGCAGAUGCAUUGUAUGAUUACUUCACUUAAUACCUUUAACUAUAUAUAGUUUACUUUAGUCUGACAUGUGAUCAUCAUUUGACAGUUUAAAGGGAAAUGUGAAUACCUUCAAAGUGAGCUUGAUGAAGUGCGUCUCGAGUAUGCUUCAUUUGUGUCUGAGCUGAUAGUAUGAGCAAUGGAGUUAAUGAUGUGUAGCUUUCUAAAGUUCUAAUUAUUGGUGGUAUUAUGGUAGUUUUUUAAAUUUCUAAGUGGUAGUGAAUGUGAUAAAGUCUUUAUGGAAUUUCAAAUUCCUUGUUACUAAAAGAUGAUAUUGUUUUGUUCCAAAACUAAGAUGUUUAUCAGCCUAGUAGUGUAAGAUCUUGAUCAACCUAACAGUGUUUCAGAUGAUAUAUAGUGUUGUGAUGUUUUUGUAUGCUGGUAAUGAUCCAAAUGGUAGUGUUGGGAAUUAUUGUGAUAAUUGAAUAGAUGAAGUUUUGACAAUAUUAUGGUUAUUUUAAGUGAUGUUUUGAUGAUAUUGUUGAGAUAAUUUGGAUGUAUUGAUUUUAUACAUAUUUUGAUUUUUAAAUUUCAAUGGAAUUUAUAAAAUAAUAAUAUUAAAAAUAUUAUUUAAUAAUAUUAUUAUUUAAAAUAUUAAAAAAUAUUUUCUAAUUCAAAAAAUAUAAAUAUUAUUUUAAAAAAAUUCUCAUCGUGACACUAUAUUAACAUCAUAAAGCUGCGACACAUAAUUACCCGUCAUAAUUUAAAAUUGAAUUCAUAACACCCGCCAAAAGUUUUUUCACAAUAAAACAAAUUUACCACCAAAAUAUUAAAACGACAUCGCUUUUUUUGUGACACCUUUGUGAUAGCUAUAAGCUGUCAUAAACUCAUGUGAUAGAUAAAUUAUUAUCACGGAUUUAUCACAGGGGCUACAAUGACAGAUAGAAACUCUAUCAUAAAGAGUGUCGGAUGACAUAUAUUCUCUGUCAUGGUAGCCCAUUUUUCUAGUAGUGAUUAGCUAUGCUUUUAAGUUUAAAAAACAAAAUCAUGAAACUGCACUUAUAUUAAUCUCACAUUCAAUAUAAUGUGUACAAUCCCCAUAUUGCACCAUAUAUGGUGCUUGCUCUUUACAUAAUAAGAGCUAAAAAAUAAUAAACUGCCUUAAUUAAGAGACUAGAAAUGAAAGAAUAUGUUAAUGGCAGUUAAGCUAAGCUGAGAACUGAUGACUGUGGUGGUUAUUGGAUGUUGAUGUUGCCACAAAGAUAAGAAUUCAUAAUGGAUGGAGGAAAAAAAAUACCCCAUUUGCUGAGAUGAUUCCAUGGUUGUUAAACAUAGCCAAAAAACGAACAGAGACAGAAAGAGAAUCCAACUCAAUACUUAAAUUUUGGCUUAUUCAUGACUAUCAUCUAAAUAAAUUAAGAAAAAGUUUUAUCAUAAUUCUAGAAUUACCCAUAUUCCACUCUUUACUUUGGCAAAGCUUAUAUGUUUUUGGCUUUAUGGUGAAAAAGUUUGGUGAAGAAAUGAAAAGUGGCUAUUGAAUUUCUUUAACAAGGUACUCAUUUUAACUUAAAACUCAUUUCACAGUCAUAUUUGUCGAUUAUUACUCUCAUAGGCCUGCAUUGGAUAACAAUAAUUUCAAUUAUGAUUGAAUUUUGUAACCAAAACAAAAAAAAAUUAAGAGAAAAAUCCUAGAUAAAAAUUUUAGUGAAGAAACAAAAGAAACAGAAUUAUAUUUAAAACAAGGACAAGGCAAUCCUAGAUAAGAACCCAUAGAUAAAAUAUUGAAGAUAAACACCAUGCCACAAACAAUUCAAAACAAGGACAAGGCAACAAAAAGACUGAAAAGGGCAAAAAUUAUUUUGACAUGCUAGUAAGAGUUCUACAAGACAAUUGAAAACAAGUGGUACAUGGAAGAAAUUUCCCAAAAACCAUAUCACAGAGAGAACUGUAUAUCACCGAAACCAAAUGGUGAAAAUUAGUAAUCAAAACCAAAUGGAAUUCUUCAAAAAUUAUAUCUUAAACAAAAUUCUCCUAAGCAAGCAGAGAAACACAAGUAUGAGCAUAGCAUAAAAAGAGAACAUAGUCAGAAUCCAAUUUAAAAGAAAACAACGAUGAAGAGAACAACAGAUUUGAGAGGCAGCAACAAUAAUGGAGAGAGAACUCACAGAUUUAGCAACGAUGAAGCGAGUAGCAGCAGCGCAAAGAGAGAGCAGCAGAAGCGAGAGAGAGAUAGCAGUAGCACAGAGGAAGAUCAACAGCACUGGAGCAGUGAAGAAGAGAGAAUAACAACACCUACCAACGAUGGAGAGAAAGAGCGAUUAGAUCUGUGAUAAGGGAGAGUGAUUGGGAAGAUCGCGAUAAGAUUUUAGGCGAGAGAAAUAGACGGUCAUGGAUAAACCUUGGAUUCUCUGUUUUGUGAUUUAUUUUUAACUUUAUAUUUGUAAUUCAUUGAGAACAAGUUAUACACGUUCUCAAAUUUAUAACUAUAAAAGAAGAUAUGAAUUAUUUGUUUUACAAUUUGUUUUUUGAAUUUCGGCCAUCGAACGCGUAUUAACUUAGAUUGAUUAAAGGAAAAUGAAAACAGCGCCCAUAAAACAUUACCGAACAGGCCCUUAGUUUCUUUAUUAUUUUUCCUUUUACCUUCUAGUAACUGAUUGGAGAUUGAGUGCAGGAUGAUGAUUUUAGAGUGGAAUUUUUGGUGAUUGGCUAGUGGAUUGAAUGGGCGUGUUUGGUUGCAAGAGAAAUUUCAUUGCCUGGCGGGAGGCCAAAGAGGGUGAUAA
Molecule: long non-coding RNA, 12363 nt
Filed under: Citrus maxima (pomelo)
Lineage: Eukaryota; Viridiplantae; Streptophyta; Magnoliopsida; Sapindales; Rutaceae
Description: long non-coding RNA (CMAX_LNC001867)
Source: RNAcentral